RNAcentral lists this ribosomal RNA (477 nucleotides) under Pirateolea nola. Its description in RNAcentral is "partial 16S large subunit ribosomal RNA". The record is from RNAcentral. Lineage: Eukaryota; Metazoa; Arthropoda; Insecta; Lepidoptera; Noctuidae.
UGUCUUUUUGAAAUUAAUAUAAAGUUUAAUCUGCCCACUGAUUUAAUAAUUGAAGGGCUGCAGUAUAUUGACUGUACAAAGGUAGCAUAAUCAUUAGUCAUUUAAUUGAUGACUUGUAUGAAGGAUUGGAUGAAAUAUAAUCUGUCUCUUAAUUAAUAAUAGAAUUUAAUUUUUUAAUUAAAAAGUUAAAAUGGUUUAAAAAGACGAGAAGACCCUAUAGAGUUUUAUAAAUAAAUUAAUUAAGAUUAUUUAGUAAUAUAAAAUUAAAAUUAAAUUAUUUAUUAUAUUGGGGUGAUAGAAAAAUAUAAUUAACUUUUUUUAUAAAUUAAACAUUUAUAAGUGAUUAAAUGAUCCAGUACUAUUGAUUAUAAGAAAAAAUUACCUUAGGGAUAACAGCGUAAUUUUUUUUUUUAGUUCACAUAAGAAAAAGAGUUUGCGACCUCGAUGUUGGAUUAAGAUAAAAUUUAAAUGCAGAAG